AAGAUUUGACUGCUGAUAAACUUUUUCCAAAUAUUUCCAUAUUUCCACAUUUCCACAUUUGAAGCUUCUUGGCCUAAGCCCUCUCUCUAUCUUUCUCUCUCUAGUUACUGCGAGUAAUUCUGGAAACGGGGUUUGUAGCACGGAUCCUUUGUUAUAGGCGCUUGGAUUGCAAUCCUUCGCUACUCUCAGGUGAUCUGCAAUUUCAUUACCUUGGACCAAUGUAUUUGUGGGAUAUGCAAAACCAUCUCAGGUGAUCAGCAAACUCAUCACCUUGGACCAAUGUAUUUGUGGGAUAUGCAAAACCACCUCUUAUAAAAGCGAUUCGUGCAAAGUUGCUGGAUGUGGAUGAGAACUAGCGAAUUGGGUUAUGUUCCUCUAAGAGAGAGAGGGAAAGAACAACUAGGAGAGAGAGAGCCUGCGGUUUGAUAGAGAAAGGGCUAGAGAGAGAAAGAGAGACUUUGUGAUAAGGGAAAAGGGGUUAGUAUCUGGAACAAUGUGAUACAGAGAAAUCUAGAGAGAUAAACCAUAGGGCAACGACCAGCCUUCUUUCCAUUGGCCUUAGCACUUUCUUUGCUAGGGUUUGCAGAGGCUGCACCACCGCACGCAUCAGCUACAA
Molecule: long non-coding RNA, 616 nt
Filed under: Amborella trichopoda
Lineage: Eukaryota; Viridiplantae; Streptophyta; Magnoliopsida; Amborellales; Amborellaceae
Description: long non-coding RNA (ATRI_LNC002288)
Source: RNAcentral